This is a ribosomal RNA of Dipodomys ordii (Ord's kangaroo rat), 113 nucleotides long. The record is from Ensembl. Lineage: Eukaryota; Metazoa; Chordata; Mammalia; Rodentia; Heteromyidae.
CUCUGCCAUACUGCCGUUAAUGUGGGUUGUGUCUGGUCUCCAAAGCUAAGCAAGGUUUGGCCUAGGUUGUACUGGUAUGAUAGCUUGUCUGGGAAUACCAGGUGCUACAGGGU